RNAcentral lists this ribosomal RNA (550 nucleotides) under uncultured bacterium. RNAcentral's name for it is "bacterial SSU rRNA". It matches the Rfam family "Bacterial small subunit ribosomal RNA", at positions 246 to 798 of the family's 1533-position model. The record is from RNAcentral.
CACGUGGGAAUGUAAAAGGCUACCUCGGUUACCGUUCGUGGGUGUGUAAGGCUGGUCGCCCGCGUUGGUACUGAGACACGGACCAGACUCAUACGGGAGGCAGCAGUGAGGAAUAUUGCACAAUGGAGGAAACUCUGAUGCAGCCAUGCCGCGUGCAGGAAGAAUGCCUAUGGGUUGUAAACUGCUUUUAUACAAGAAGAAACCUCGGUACGUGUACCGACUUGACGGUAUUGUAUGAAUAAGCACCGGCUAACUCCGUGCCAGCAGCCGCGGUAAUACGGAGGGUGCAAGCGUUAUCCGGAUUUAUUAGGUUUAAAGGGUCCGCAGGCGGAAUAUUAAGUCAGUGGUGAAAGCCUACAGCUCAACUGUAGAACUGCCAUUGAUACUGAUAUUCUUGAGUAUGGAUGAAGUGGGCGGAAUAUGUCAUGUAGCGGUGAAAUGCAUAGAUAUGACAUGGAACACCAAUUGCGAAGGCAGCUCACUAAAUAAUUACUGACGCUCAUGGACGAAAGCUUGAGGAGCGAACAGAAUAGAAUACCCUGGAGUUCAA